RNAcentral lists this ribosomal RNA (253 nucleotides) under uncultured bacterium. Its description in RNAcentral is "partial 16S ribosomal RNA". It matches the Rfam family "Bacterial small subunit ribosomal RNA", at positions 524 to 776 of the family's 1533-position model. The record is from RNAcentral.
UACGUAGGGGGCAAGCGUUGUCCGGAUUCAUUGGGCGUAAAGAGCGUGUAGGCGGCCAGGUAGGUCGGUUGUGAAAACUGGAGGCUCAACCUUCAGAGGUCGACCGAAACCAUCUGGCUAGAGUCCGGGAGAGGAGAGUGGAAUUCCUGGUGUAGCGGUGAAAUGCGCAGAUAUCAGGAAGAACACCCGUGGCGAAAGCGGCUCGCUGGAACGGUACCGACGCUGAGACGCGAAAGCGUGGGGAGCGAACAGG